AUGUCACCCUACACCAUCGUCUACUUCACCACCCGAGGGCGCUGCAAGGCCAUGCGCAUGCUGCUGGCUGACCAGGGCCAGAGCUGGAAGGAGGAGGUGGUGACCAAGGAGAGCUGACUGCAGGGCCCGCUCAAGACCUCCUGUCUGCGUGGGCAUCUCCCCAAGUUCCAGGAUGGAGACCUCACCAUGUACCAGUCCAAUGCCAUCCUGCGACACCUGGGCUGUACCUUUGGGCUCUAUGGCAAAGACCAGUGGGAGGCGGUGCUGGUGGACAUGGUGAAAGAUGGCAUGGAGGAUGUCCACAGGCACUGCAGCCAGCUCAUUUACCGGACCAAUGAGGAGGGUAAGGCCAAGUAUUUUCAGGAGAUGCCAGGGCACCUGAAGUCUUUUGAGACCCUGCUGAUCCAGAACAAGGAGGGCAAGGCCUUCCUUGUGGGCGACCAGAUCUCCUUCACCAACUACAACCUGUUGGGCCUGUUGCUGAAUCACCAGGUCCUGGCCCCUGGUUGCUUGGACUCCCACCCCCUGCUCUUGGCCUAUGUGGCAUGCCUCAGCAACGGGCCCAAGCUCAAGGCCUACCUGGCCUUCCCCAGCAUGUGAACCGCCCUGUCCAUGAAACCCAAAAGAUAUGAGCCCCUUCAGCCUCCCCUGGGAGAAAGGCUGCCCUUUAGAACCAAUAAACACCUAGAGAGGAAAA
This is an RNA transcript of Mirounga angustirostris (Northern elephant seal), 697 nucleotides long. It is a transcript of the gene named glutathione S-transferase P-like, with no coding region annotated. Lineage: Eukaryota; Metazoa; Chordata; Mammalia; Carnivora; Phocidae. The record is from RefSeq and is a predicted model, not a curated record. The transcript has a single exon.